UGAACAUUAAACAAAAUAACACAACAUCGGGUUCACCAUAAUUCAAACCAUAAUAAAAGAAACCAUGAUUCACGCAUACGAAACCAUAAAAUAAACACAUCAGAUACCAUACUGCAUUUAAAACUAUAAAAUAGAUCAAACAAAAACUGACCGACAAAUACACCAGAUUCGGGCUCUAUUAGCAACCUUAAGCAAUUAUACACAUCCAUUAAUUCACGAAAAUACUGUUUUAUCAUUUAUUGAACUUUAAU
This 251-nucleotide long non-coding RNA is filed under the name Carica papaya (papaya). RNAcentral's name for it is "long non-coding RNA (CPAP_LNC015030)". The record is from RNAcentral. Lineage: Eukaryota; Viridiplantae; Streptophyta; Magnoliopsida; Brassicales; Caricaceae.